This 25-nucleotide non-coding RNA is filed under the name Rattus norvegicus (Norway rat). The record is from RNAcentral. Lineage: Eukaryota; Metazoa; Chordata; Mammalia; Rodentia; Muridae.
UGUCGCCAUGGUUCUCCUUGCCUGA